Molecule: ribosomal RNA, 413 nt
Filed under: Bacillus sp. (in: firmicutes)
Lineage: Bacteria; Bacillati; Bacillota; Bacilli; Caryophanales; Bacillaceae
Description: bacterial SSU rRNA
Rfam family: Bacterial small subunit ribosomal RNA
Source: RNAcentral
GGGGCAGAGUGACAGGUGGUGCAUGGUUGUCGUCAGCUCGUGUCGUGAGAUGUUGGGUUAAGUCCCGCAACGAGCGCAACCCUUGAUCUUAGUUGCCAGCAUUCAGUUGGGCACUCUAAGGUGACUGCCGGUGACAAACCGGAGGAAGGUGGGGAUGACGUCAAAUCAUCAUGCCCCUUAUGACCUGGGCUACACACGUGCUACAAUGGGCAGAACAAAGGGCAGCGAAGCCGCGAGGCUAAGCCAAUCCCACAAAUCUGUUCUCAGUUCGGAUCGCAGUCUGCAACUCGACUGCGUGAAGUUGGAAUCGCUAGUAAUCGCGGAUCAGCAUGCCGCGGUGAAUACGUUCCCGGGCCUUGUACACACCGCCCGUCACACCCCGAGAGUUUGUAACACCCGAAGUCGGUGAGGUA